Molecule: ribosomal RNA, 421 nt
Filed under: uncultured bacterium
Lineage: Bacteria
Description: partial 16S ribosomal RNA
Rfam family: Bacterial small subunit ribosomal RNA
Source: RNAcentral
AAUAUUUUACAAUGGGGGCAACCCUGAGCCAGCCAUGCCGCGUGUGUGAAGAAGGUCUUCGGGUUGUAAAGCACUUUAAGUUGGGAGGAAGGGCUUUAGGUUAAUACCCUGAAGUUUGGACGUUACCAACAGAAUACGCACCGGCUAACCCUGCGCCAGCAGCCGCGGUAAUACAGAGGUUGCAAGGGUUAAUUGGAAUUAUGGGGCGUAAAGCGCGUGUAGGUGGUUCAGUAAGAUAGGUGUAAAAUACCCGGGCUUAACCUAGGAACUGCUUUAAAAACUGCUGAGCUAGAGUACGGUAGAGGGUAGUGGAAUUUCCUGUGUAGCGGUGAAAUGCGUAGAUAUAGAAAAGAACACCAGUGGCGAAGGCGACUACCUGGACUGAUACUGACACUGAGGUGCGAAAGCGUGGGGAGCAAAC